AAGUUUUGUGAGCAAAGGUUUAUAGCUCAAGUUUUGUGAGCAAAGGGUGUGUAUUGUAGUCAUGGCUAAAACUCUCCUUGUUUCACCUUCCUACUUCAUCUUCUUCAUCUUUCUCAUUUUUUCUUCUACCACAACUCCAAUUUUUGGAGAAGAAUAUAGCUAUGUUAAAAGUGUCAAUCCUAAAAAAAUGAAGAUACCGAGAGAAAAGGUAAGUCAUUUUAAACUUUAUUGGCAGGAUGAUGUUAGCGGGUCUAAUGCAACUUCCGUCACAGUGAUUGAAGCACUGAAUAACUCGUCACCAUAUUUUGGUAUGGUAAAUAUAAUUGAUAACUCGUUAACCGUUGGGCCAAAUAUGAGCUCAAAAACGGUUGGAAAGGCCCAAGGGCUUUACGCAUCUACGGGACAAGAAGAUGCUUCAUUAUUGAUGGUUAUGAAUUUUGCAUUCACUGAUGGCAAGUACAAUGGUAGCACAUUCACUGUGUUAGGACGAAACAAUGUAAAUGCUGAGGUAAGGGAGAUGCCAAUAAUCGGUGGCAGUGGGCUUUUCCGAUUUGCUAGAGGCUAUGCUCUAGCAUCAACUUACUCGUUCUACGACAACGGAGACGCCACUAUUGAAUACAAUUGUUAUGUCAUACAUUAUUGAUUUUUUUUAUUUUUUUAUUUUUUAUUUUUGUGGAGUUUUGAUCCACAAUAGUGAUAUACUUGAAUAAUUGUGUAUUCCCACCAUAGCUAAGUGGGAUUCUCUAGUUUUGUUUAAUUUGAAUAAAUUAGGUGGCUCUUACUUCACCUAAUUGAAUGUAAGCAUACUUUAAUAAAAUAAAAUAAAAUGAUUAUUUGUGUGGAUCAAUUACUUUCUUGAAAUUUGUUAAAUCAUACUUUAUUCUUAAAAAAAAAGUUGGAGAAAAGUAGAUUUAAAAGUUUAUAUCAAGAAAGUUGAAGUGUAUCACUUUUCUAUUCAACUUAUCUUAGCUUUGUAUAAUAAAAAUGACAUAAUUAUUUGAUUUCACAUGACCCAAAUUAUCUUAACCAAACUAAAAUAUAUUCAACUUUCACUAAUUUUUAGUCAUAUAUAAUGAUAAUGAAGUUAGAAAAAGCUCAAAAAUUUAUGGAGCAUUCCCAUUUACAAAAAUGCUUUUAAGAAAUGUUUUGAUGAAAAUUAUAAUCGUCGCAACUAUCCCACAAAAGAUGGAGGGCAAUCCUCCAACCCCCUUUCUCGUGAUAAUUAAAGUAUAAAAGAUUAUCCAUUUUGAUAAUAUGAUAUUUUUAUGUAAUGUCUGUAAAUGUGUAAUCAUACUAAUGAUAACAAGAAUUAAUGAUUAUUUGGUAUAUGUAGGUAUCACCACACGAUGGAGUCGAGACCCUUGGAUCCGACAGUUCUACAUGGACAGGCUACACACAGGUCAUCUCUAGCAUGGACAGGUGUUGACUCUAAGAAGCUUCAUUAUCGACGUCGUGAGGCGAUCUUCCAUCGCACCAGUGUACUCGAUGGGCGUAUUAUUCCAUUGUUGCAGCAGGCAGGCUUCUAUGGUGUUGCACGCUUAGGAUUCAUUUCCUUAUAUUGGCAUCUUAUUACUGCAUUUGUCAAGAGAUGGCGACCUGAGACUCAUACACAUGUUUAGAUUAGAGACGUGUAUGUUAUUCUCUAUUAGAACUCACUCCUGGAGAUACAGAUAUAGAUGGGUAGCACCUUCAUCUUACAUGGUUGAGUUAGAGUUUCCCUACUUUGGCACUAGAUGCUGAUAAGGAGUCUAUUCAGCGUUAUACUAGAGCUUAUAUCUUACAACUCAUUGGAGGUUUUCUAUUUUCAGGAAAGUCUAACGAUAAGGUGCAUCUUAUGUUUUUACCCCUUCUAAAGGAUUUUGAGGUUGCUAGUAGGUAUAGUUGGGGUAGUGCCUGUUUAGCUUGGCUUUAUCGACAGUUGUGUCGAGCCUCUCAUAUUGAUACACAUGAUAUAUCUGGCCCACUGAUUUUGCUCCAGUUAUGGGUAUGGGAGAGGUUCCCAUUUAUUGCACCUCAUCGUUUACGUAUAGCUCCACAUGAUGACCAACUGCCUCCAUCUCUAUUGGCCAUUCGGUAUAUAUUAUAAAAUUACGACAAAUUUUACUAUUAUGAGGAUACACACAUAAACUUAAAUUCUAACAUUUUUUAUUUAUUUAACUAUGCUUUGUUAUUUUAAUUUUAUAGGUGGAGAGAUGAGUUUCGGACUACUUCGAUUAGCAUGCACGUCUUAGCUCAGUAUAGGCACCAUCUUGAUCGACUUAUAACAAAUCAGGUGAUAAAAGUGUAAUUCAUUUCUUAUACUUGUUUUUCUAAACAAAUUUUAAACCACUGAUUAUAUCUAACGUUUCUUGGGUACAGAUUAUAUGGCAGCCUUAUGUUGAUGACAUGAAUGUUGGUCUUCCUGAUUAUUGUACUGCUGGGAAAGAUAUAUGGUGCACUAUCUCACCUUUGAUAUGUUUCCACAUAAUUGAAUGGCAUAGACCUGAUCGAGUAUUGCGGCAAUUUGGAUUACGUCAAGGGAUUCCUCAGCCAUGUGAUAAUGAGUCAAUCUUACACAAAUGUGAUUUGAAAAGUAGACAUGAUGUUGAUUGGACUACUCGACAUGAAGACUACAUUCAACGUUAGAGCUCUAGGCAUGAGCAUAUUGCUAGAAGGGAGAUGGUUAUAGGUUCAUUGGGAUAUCAUGAUCCAUACAUGGUGUGGUAUCGCUCCAUUACUAUUCAGUUUCUUACUCGAACUGGGUCCUUCCACGAGCUAUUGGUAAUGUUCAUGUUUUGUUUUUUUAUUAAAGUUUAUUUUAUUUUUAUAAUAAUUUUAAUUUAACUCUUAUUUGACUUACAGACUUCUAGCAUACACCAAAUAUAUGAUAUUGCACCUCCAGAUGAUUUUCGCAUUCGUAAGCUAUGUACUACUGUAUUAAAGGCCAUACAUGAGAUGGAUCGCUUAGAUGCUUCAUUUAGUGUUGAUGCUACUAUACAGCUCCAGCCUCCAUUAGGAGAUGUACGACCUACACGACAAGGGCCUCAUACAAGGGAGAUUAGGCAUACACCAGUUGUUGCCCAAGUGCGACCAUUGAUUGACAUUAGUCCACCACCUCAUCAGCAGCCGACAUCAUCUAUUACUCGAUCAGGAGGUGAACGGACUAGAAGGGGAGAGCCUCAUAUGAGGAGUAGUCCACCACCUCAUCAGCAGCCGAUAUCAUCUAUUACUCGAUUAGGAGGUGUAUGGACUAGAGGAGGAGGGCCUCAUACAAGGAGUAGUCCAUCACCUCAUCACCAGCCGAUAUCAUCCAUUACUCAAUCAGGAGGUGUACAGACUAGAGGGCGAGAGGCUCAUACUAGAGGGACUAGGCAUACAUAUGUUCUUAGAGAUGCACCAUUGACUGACAUUAGCCUACCACCUGUUCAGGAGACUCCUAUUACACCUAUGAAGGUGUCAUCCACCCCACCUGUAGUACCACUUGUUGCAUCAUCACCACCAUCGAUAGAGGCUACAUUAGUUAAUGAAGAGUUAGUUCAUAUAGCAAAUGAUGAUCAGAAAGGACAAAAGACUGAUCGUAGUCGAAGACAUGGUCGAGGACGUGGUAGGAAAUGUGGUCGUCGAGCUCAUGGAGGGUUACAUGUUAGCCUCAUAGAGCUAAUAGUGGAGCAUGCACAUCCUAGAUGUCCACUACGGAAGAGGAAGACUCCUUCGUGAAGUACACAUUGAGAAUGUUACUAUAUAUGACUUGUAUUUUGGAUACUAUUAGUAUUUUGCAUAUCAUUAUUUUGGACAAAUACUCAAGAUGUAUGUUUUUACUUGUUAUAUUUUGGAUUAACUAACUUUUUAUUAACGUAAGUUCUAUAGUAUUCUAUCUAUUUUGGACUUAUUUUACACAAAAUAGUAUUGUUAUUAUUUUGGAAAGGUGCUGACUUAAUUGACAUUUGGUUUACUUGUUUUCAUUGGUUUUGGAUUGAAUGUCAAAAUAUUGAUUAUAAUGUAUACAGAUGAUAAACUUUAAACAUUUGGUUGUACAAUAGGUAAUAUUAAUUAAGAGAUAUAAUUUUUUUUUUUCUUUUGUGGAAGGUGUCUCUUCAAGAAACACUUUCAGCAUAAAUUCGAAAUUUUCUACUAUGUAUGAAAAUUGUGGAAAGUGUCUCUUGAAGAGAUACUUUCAGUAUAAACCGAUUUUUUUUUUAAAUUAUGGAAAUUGUGGAAAGAAACACUUUCAGUAUAAACCCAAUUUUUUUUUCAAAUUAUGGAAGAUGUCUCUUGAAGAGACACCUUUAGUAUAAUUCUAUCUUUUGGGAAUUGUAGAAUGUCCCUUUUCAAAAUUCGAAAUUUCGAAAUUUUCCACUGUGUAUGAAAAAUUGUAGAAAGUGUCUCUUGAAGAGACAAGAGACAUUUUUAGUAUAAACCCAAUUUUAAAAAAAUUAUGAAAGUCGUCUGAAUAUAAUUCCAAUUUUUUUUUUUGUAAUUAUGGAAAGUGUCUCUUGAAGAGACACCUUCAACAUAAAUUCGAAAUUUUCCAUUGUUUAAAUGAAAAUUGUGAAAAAUGUCUUUUGAAGAGACACUUCAAGUAUAAACCCAAUUUUUUUAAAAUUGUUGAAGGUGUCAAGAGACACCUUUCACAAUUCCUAAAAAAUGAAAUUAUAUUGAAGGUGUCUCUUCCAUUAUUUUAAAAAAAAUUGGGUUCAUAGAGAUUUUCCAUAAUUUUCAUACAUUGAAGAGAGACAUCUUUAUAAAUCAUUUCCACAAUUUUUAAUACAUAUUGGAUUUUGUGGAAUUGUGGAAAGUGUCCUUUCAAGAGAUACCUUUAGUAUAAAUCUAAUUUUUAGGAAUUGUAAAAGGUGUCUCUUGAAGAGACACCUUUAAUGCAUAUUAGAUUUUUUAUCACGUGGAAACUGUCUCUUCAAGAGACACCUUUAAUAUAAAUCCAAUUUUUUUGAAUUGUAGAAUGUGUCUUUUCAAGAGACACCUUUAGCUUAAAUUCAAUUCUUUUAAAUAUGUAUCAUGAUUUUGAAAAUUGUGAAAGGUGUCUUUUGAAAUAGACACCUUCCACUUUCACGUGGCCAAAACUGUAGUAUAUAUAUCAACAUUUUCUCAACUUCCAUUUUUUAAUAAUUAUUUUUUUAAAUUGCCGCAAAAGUUAAAAAAGCCCCAACUCUUUGCCACCCAAUUGGGAGACUGAAAUGCCUCUCUAUCCAUAGAAUCUAUAGUCUUGACCAGCUGAUUUUCCAAGGAAAGUGGUUGAAUCUUAAUGGGUGUUGAGACCCAUUAAUGUUGAGAGGAACUCAAAAUCCUAAUAAAAAUGCAUUUCAAUUAAUAAUGAGUUUUUAAUUUAUGUUCUCAUUUUUAAUAAUUAAUUCGCAUAAAAUAACAAAUUAAAAGUGAAAUAGAUUUUUUAAUUUCAUUUUUUGUUUCAAUGUUUCAAUAUCUCAAACAAGGAUUAUUCUCACAUAUUUGAAAGAUUUAUAAAACAAUUCUUUUCAAAAAAAUAUUCAAUUAUAAGGUGUUUGGUUAAUCAACUUAAUCAUUUAAUUUAAAUUAUUAAAUAAAUAAAAUAUAUUUAAUAAAAUAAUUUAAUAUUAAAAUUAUUUUUAACUUUUAAUAUUAAAUUAAAAUAAUUAACUUAUACUUAAUUUCAAAACUUUUUACCUCGUUUUUCAUAUUAAUAUAAAAUAAUUAACAUACCUACCUUGGCUCACAAGUUUAAAUGGUAAAAUGACAAUUUUAUCCAAUAGGAUGAAGGGUUUUGGCCCACCACAAUAAACCUUAGGGCCCACUUUGAUGGUGGACACUUAUGUUAGGUGGGCCAUCAACAGAAUUAUUAAUAUAUUAUAGCUAAGGUAAUUAAUGAUAUUUAUUCUCGUUGUUAUUAUUAUUAUUAUUAUUAAAAUUAAAUAAUUUUAAAUAUUAAUUAUGAAAAUAUAUCAAAUUAAACAACCAGUACUAAGAAUAUUUAAAAAAAAUAGAUUUUAUAUAUAUAUUAAAAAAAUUACCAAGAACAUUUAAAAGGAAAUUUCAAAAGAAAUAAAAACUAAAAAAAAAAAUCAUUAUAAAUUUUGAAUAAUUUUAAUUAUUUUAUCCCAAAAACCCAUAAAAGUUAUUUUAAAGAAUUCAAUCAUUUAUAUUAUAAAUUUUGAUAUUUUUCAUGGAAAAUGUGUGUUUUUAAAUCUCAAUUGUUUUAUAACAUAAUUUUAUUUAUUUAUAUCUUAAUCAUAUUCUUUAUAGUUAUAUCCAAAUACCUAAAUUUUUCUAUGUACUUAUAAAAAUAAGGAUUAAAAUUUUAAUAGAUGUCAAAAUCAAUAUUUUUAAAAUUUUUCUUUUUUCAAAUAAUUAAAUAUAUGAUAAUUGAAAGUAAAAUUAUUUACUUAAAACUUAUGUUUCAUAUAAUAAGUCAUUAUGAAAACAGUAUCAAUUUAAAAGUAUUAUUUUUUAUGAUUUAAUUAAGUAUAAUAAAAAAAAUAAGCAUAAAAAGGAAAAAGAUUGAAUAAACAAAAGGAAAUAAAUACUAAUAUCAAAUGAGAAUUUUUUUAAAUUUUAGUUCAAUUUUAAUAUUUUAUUAGUAAUUAAUGGUCAAUAUUGUUUUUUUGGUAAUAAUAUUUAGUUGUCAUUAUUUUGAAAAUUAAAUUCAUAUUUUUUUAGAGGGGGUAAAUUUUCUAUUUUGGUUUCUAUUUUCCUAAAAAAGUUUUGACAUAUAAGGGAAUUUGUUUGUUUCUAGAAAAUUCAGAGGGCCAGGUGCCCCCCUGAGCCUUACCUGGCACCGCCAGAGGCGGCAAGACUCAUUUUCUAGAAAAAGUUUUUAUAUGUUUUCCUUCUUUCCAUUCAAAAAAUGAGUGCUUUUACAAGUCGAUAAGACUUUGAAAUUACCCAAAACCACCAAGUGCCCAAGCCACCAAACCCAAUAAGCUGGAGGGCCAUUUUGGUCAUUCUCGUUAGAAAUUUUCUCCAUUGUGAUGCGUAUUUGAGCGGUUGGCAACUAUGACUUGGCCUUUGCCCGGUUGGAAGCUUCAUACUGACUUUGAAUUUGGAAAUGUCAAUUUUAUUGUAUGGAAAAGUCAUUCUUAUUGUAUGAAAAAUCAACCAAUCGAUACAUAUAUAUAGCCUAGGUUUUGUGAGCUAAGGUAUAUACCUCAAGUUUUGUGAGCAAAGGUUUAUAGCUCAAGUUUUGUGAGCAAAGGGUGUGUAUUGUAGUCAUGGCUAAAACUCUCCUUGUUUCGCCUUCCUACUUCAUCUUCUUCAUCUUUCUCAUUUUUUCUUCUACCACAACACCAAUUUUUGGAGAAGAAUAUAGUUAUGUCAAAAGUGUCGAUCCUAAAAAAAUGAAGAUACCAAGAGAAAAGGUAAGUCAUUUUAAACUUUAUUGGCAGGAUGAUGUUAGCGGGUCUAAUGCAACCUCAGUCACAGUGAUUGAAGCACUGAACAACUCGUCACCAUAUUUUGGUAU
This 7429-nucleotide long non-coding RNA is filed under the name Vitis vinifera (wine grape). RNAcentral's name for it is "long non-coding RNA (VVIN_LNC001660)". Lineage: Eukaryota; Viridiplantae; Streptophyta; Magnoliopsida; Vitales; Vitaceae. The record is from RNAcentral.